Molecule: long non-coding RNA, 1211 nt
Organism: Myiozetetes cayanensis
Lineage: Eukaryota; Metazoa; Chordata; Aves; Passeriformes; Tyrannidae
Exons: 3
Source: RefSeq, a predicted model, not a curated record
GAAACCUGGUCUAGAGUCGCAAAGCACAUCUAGGGAAGUAUUAAAAAAAUGUACCUAAACCAAAACACACAUACUUUUCAUUUAUUCUUCUCGGUGUCAGAGGAAAUUCAUUUCAGCAGGUCAGUGCAUGGAGCAGGACACUGAGUUGAAGAGCAUGGGGCUGCUGCUGACAGCUUUGCAAAUGCACAUCACCCCAGCAAGAAAGCCAGGCACCAAGAUACCCGUGUGCUCACAAACGGCAUCUCCCUUGGCUCUAACGCAGCAGUUGUAUUUCGCAUUUCAAGUUUUGUUCUCUCUGACUAUGGAGCAUCCUCGGUCACCAUGUCCACAGCCAUGCCUCCAUCGACACAGCCAUGCCUCCAUCGACACAGCUGCCCAGAAGGUGAAGGCUUCAUGAACAAAGAUUUGACCAUUUAACAUACUCAGUCUGUUGAGAAACUUUCUGGGAUGAACCAACUAAAAGGAGGCAGCUGAACUACUGACAUGUUGCUUACUCCUGGAAACCUCCUGGAGAAUCUGCAAAUUUCAUUCAAAGGCUUUUAGGAGUUCUUCAUAUUCUUGAGGUAUGGUAUCUUCUCAAGGAAUUCUUCUUUCUGCGUUCUCUCAACAGCAGCUGAAAAUCAAUGAUUAUAAACCCCUAGUCACACCUGUAACUUCCCUUUCCCUUGUACUAAAUGUCUCUCCAUUAAAUGGCUCUCCUUUAUCUUAAAUGCAAAUUUUACACAGAAGAAAAUAUAUUUUGCUAUGAAACCAAGAAAUAUAUGGGGUUCUCCAGUUUGCUAUCUCCAGAUUCAUAAAAAACCUCAAAUAUGACUGAGAGGCUGAAGAAGAAGCCAAGUUCAAGCCAAGCUCAGAAGAGCCAAGCCAGUACAGGUGACAGUCCUACAAUGCACAACAUUUUCCCAAAGCCCCACUUACUUUAUUCCCUGGGUUCCAAGAGGAACUUUCAUUUGUUUAUGAACACACCACUAACUACAGAUGACAAUUCUCUAAAUACAAUGCAUUCAGAUGGGUGAGAAUUUAUAACUUUCGGUUUCCAACUUUCACUAAAAUAUGGUCAUAUUAAAUAACUGAAAAUGAGUAGGAAAAGAAUCUCAUUGAUUGUCGAUGGUUAUAUGUGAUACUAAAGUGCAGGACACUAGUAAAUACCUCUGAGGAAUUGACAGACAGCAAUAUAGCAACUGGAAUAUAGCAGGUAGGGAAACUGCAGG